GGUUAAGUUAACAAGGGCGCAUGGUGAAUGCCUUGGCACUAGGAGCCGAUGAAGGACGGGACUAACACCGAUAUGCUUCGGGGAGCUGUACGUAAGCUAUGAUCCGGAGAUUUCCGAAUGGGGCAACCCAGCAGUUUUAAUCAACUGUUACCACUAGAUGAAUUCAUAGUCUAGUUGGAGGUAAACGCUGUGAACUGAAACAUCUCAUUAGCAGCAGGAAUAUAAAGAAAUUUCGAUUCCCUAAGUAGCGGCGAGCGAACGGGGAACAGCCCAAACCAAAGUGCUUGCACUUUGGGGUUGUAGGACUGAACAUUUGAGUUACCAAAGAACUUGAUAGUCGAAGGAUUUGGGAAAAUCCGCCAUAGAUGGUGAUAGCCCAGUAGAUUAAAUCAAAUUCUCUCAGUUCAGGAUCCUGAGUACGGCGGAACACGUGAAAUUCCGUCGGAAUCCGGGAGGACCAUCUCCCAAGGCUAAAUACUACCUAGUGACCGAUAGUGAACCAGUACCGUGAGGGAAAGGUGAAAAGCACCCCGGGAGGGGAGUGAAAUAGUUCCUGAAACCAUGUGCCUACAAUAAGUCAGAGCGCGUUAAUGCGUGAUGGCGUGCCUUUUGUAGAAUGAACCGGCGAGUUAUGAUCCCGUGCAAGGUUAAGACUAAAAAGUCGGAGCCGUAGCGAAAGCGAGUCUGAAAUGGGCGUUUUGAGUACGAGGUUAUAGACCCGAAACCAGGUGACCUAUCCAUGUCCAGGUUGAAGGUGCGGUAAAACGCACUGGAGGACCGAACCCGUGUAAGUUGAAAAUUGCUGGGAUGAGGUGUGGAUAGCGGUGAAAUUCCAAACGAACUUGGAGAUAGCUGGUUCUCUCCGAAAUAGCUUUAGGGCUAGCCUCGGAAUUAGGAUCAUGGAGGUAGAGCACUAUUUGGACUAGGGGCCCGUCUUGGGUUACUGAAUUCAGAUAAACUCCGAAUGCCAUUGAUUCAUAUCCGGGAGUCAGACGAUGAGUGAUAAGAUCCACCGUCGAAAGGGGAACAGCCCAGACCAUCAGUUAAGGUCCCUAAAUGUAUGCUAAGUGGAAAAGGAUGUGGAGUUGCAUAGACAACUAGGAUGUUGGCUCAGAAGCAGCCACCAUUUAAAGAGUGCGUAAUAGCUCACUAGUCGAGUGAUCCUGCGCCGAAAAUGUACCGGGGCUAAGCAUAUUACCGAAACCAUGGAUGCGACCAUUAGGUCGCGUGAUAGGAGAGCGUUCUAAGGGCGGUGAAGCAAGAUCGUGAGGACUUGUGGAGCGCUUAGAAGUGAGAAUGCCGGUAUGAGUAGCGAAAGAUAGGUGAGAAUCCUAUCCACCGAAUGACUAAGGUUUCCUGGGGAAGGCUCGUCCUCCCAGGGUUAGUCGGGACCUAAGUCGAGGCCGAGAGGCGUAGACGAUGGAUAACAGGUUGAGAUUCCUGUACUAGUUAAGUGCGUUUGAGCAAUGGAGGGACGCAGGAGGCUAAGAUGUGCAUUCUGUUGGAUUAGAAUGUCCAAGCAGUAAGUCUUGUGAAGAGUCAAAUGCUUUUCACUUUAAGGACAAGCUGUGAUGGGGAGCGAAAUUUAGUAGCGAAGCGUCUGAUGUCACACUGCCGAGAAAAGCUUCUAGUGAGUACUUAACUACCCGUACCGCAAACCGACACAGGUAGUCGAGGAGAGAAUCCUAAGGUGAGCGAGUGAACUCUCGUUAAGGAACUCGGCAAAAUGACCCCGUAACUUCGGGAGAAGGGGUGCUGAUCGCAAGAUCAGCCGCAGUGAAUAGGCCCAGGCGACUGUUUAUCAAAAACACAGGUCUCUGCAAAAUCGUAAGAUGACGUAUAGGGGCUGACGCCUGCCCGGUGCUGGAAGGUUAAAAGGAUGGGUUAGCUUCGGCGAAGCUCAGAAUUGAAGCCCCAGUAAACGGCGGCCGUAACUAUAACGGUCCUAAGGUAGCGAAAUUCCUUGUCGGGUAAGUUCCGACCCGCACGAAAGGCGUAACGAUCUGGGCACUGUCUCAACGAGAGACUCGGUGAAAUUAUAUUGUCCGUGAAGAUGCGGACUACCCGCGACAGGACGGAAAGACCCCAUGGAGCUUUACUGUAGCUUGAUAUUGAGUGUUUGUACAGCUUGUACAGGAUAGGUAGGAGCCAUAGAAACCGGAACGCUAGUUUCGGUGGAGGCGUUGGUGGGAUACUACCCUCGCUGUAUGACCACUCUAACCCGCACCACUAAUCGUGGUGGGAGACAGUGUCAGGUGGGCAGUUUGACUGGGGCGGUCGCCUCCUAAAAAGUAACGGAGGCGCCCAAAGGUUCCCUCAGAAUGGUUGGAAAUCAUUCGCAGAGUGUAAAGGCACAAGGGAGCUUGACUGCGAGACAGACAGGUCGAGCAGGGACGAAAGUCGGGCUUAGUGAUCCGGUGGUACCGUAUGGAAGGGCCAUCGCUCAACGGAUAAAAGCUACCCUGGGGAUAACAGGCUUAUCUCCCCCAAGAGUCCACAUCGACGGGGAGGUUUGGCACCUCGAUGUCGGCUCAUCGCAUCCUGGGGCUGUAGUCGGUCCCAAGGGUUGGGCUGUUCGCCCAUUAAAGCGGUACGCGAGCUGGGUUCAGAACGUCGUGAGACAGUUCGGUCCCUAUCCGUCGCGGGCGUAGGAAAUUUGAGAGGACCUGUCCUUAGUACGAGAGGACCGGGAUGGACAUACCUCUGGUGUACCAGUUGUGCCGCCAGGCGCAUCGCUGGGUAGCUACGUAUGGAUGUGAUAAACGCUGAAAGCAUCUAAGUGUGAAACACACCUCGAGAUGAGAUUUCCCAUUCCUUUAUGGAAGUAAGACCCCUGAAAGAUGAUCAGGUAGAUAGGUUAGAAGUGGCAGUGCGGUGACGCAUGAAGCGGACUAAUACUAAUCGGUCGAGGACUUAACCAA
Molecule: ribosomal RNA, 2921 nt
Filed under: Lactiplantibacillus plantarum
Lineage: Bacteria; Bacillati; Bacillota; Bacilli; Lactobacillales; Lactobacillaceae
Description: LSU rRNA
Rfam family: Bacterial large subunit ribosomal RNA
Source: RNAcentral